RNAcentral lists this ribosomal RNA (422 nucleotides) under Verrucomicrobiota bacterium. Its description in RNAcentral is "Verrucomicrobia bacterium partial 16S ribosomal RNA". It matches the Rfam family "Bacterial small subunit ribosomal RNA", at positions 355 to 776 of the family's 1533-position model. The record is from RNAcentral. Lineage: Bacteria; Pseudomonadati; Verrucomicrobiota.
UGGGGAAUAUUGCACAAUGGGCGCAAGCCUGAUGCAGCGACGCCGCGUGAGGGAUGAAGGCCUUCGGGUUGUAAACCUUUUUCGCUCAUGGUCAAGCCGCAGCUUUGGGUUGUGGUGAGGGUAGUGGGUAAAGAAGCGCCGGCUAACUACGUGCCAGCAGCCGCGGUAAUACGUAGGGCGCGAGCGUUGUCCGGAAUUAUUGGGCGUAAAGGGCUUGUAGGCGGUUGGCCGCGUCUGCCGUGAAAUCCUCUGGCUUAACUGGGGGCGUGCGGUGGGUACGGGUUGACUUGAGUGCGGUAGGGGAGACUGGAAUUCCUGGUGUAGCGGUGGAAUGCGCAGAUAUCAGGAGGAACACCGGUGGCAAAGGCGGGUCUCUGGGCCGUUACUGACGCUGAGGAGCGAAAGCGUGGGGAGCGAACAGG